RNAcentral lists this long non-coding RNA (221 nucleotides) under Panax ginseng (ginseng). RNAcentral's name for it is "long non-coding RNA (PGIN_LNC016251)". Lineage: Eukaryota; Viridiplantae; Streptophyta; Magnoliopsida; Apiales; Araliaceae. The record is from RNAcentral.
CAUGUUCUGACUAUUCUUUACACUAUUUUAUCACACUAUCAAGAUUGACAAUCGUUUUGUCUUCUAUUGUUUGAUCUUAACACUAUACUAAUAUAAGAUUAGAUUUUUUGAUAAUUAAUACCUGUAUAUGCAAUUUUUUGACUACUACCUUCUGUCUUAUAUAAUCUAAUAUAUUGCUCAAAAGUAUUUGGGAUCGACAUCUAUCAAGUGAUAAAGAUAUA